RNAcentral lists this transfer RNA (72 nucleotides) under Camelus bactrianus (Bactrian camel). It matches the Rfam family "tRNA". Rfam says of the family: Transfer RNA (tRNA) molecules are approximately 80 nucleotides in length. Their secondary structure includes four short double-helical elements and three loops (D, anti-codon, and T loops). Further hydrogen bonds mediate the characteristic L-shaped molecular structure. tRNAs have two regions of fundamental functional importance: the anti-codon, which is responsible for specific mRNA codon recognition, and the 3' end, to which the tRNAs corresponding amino acid is attached (by aminoacyl-tRNA synthetases). tRNAs cope with the degeneracy of the genetic code in two manners: having more than one tRNA (with a specific anti-codon) for a particular amino acid; and 'wobble' base-pairing, i.e. permitting non-standard base-pairing at the 3rd anti-codon position. The record is from Rfam by way of RNAcentral. RNAcentral also lists the same sequence under 1 other name. Lineage: Eukaryota; Metazoa; Chordata; Mammalia; Artiodactyla; Camelidae.
GAGGGUACAGCUGAGUGGUAGAGUGAGUGCUUAGCAUGCACACGGUCCUGGGCUCAAGCCUCAGUACCUCCA